AGUAGCCGCGGGAAUACGAAGGGGGCUAGCGUUGUUCGGAAUUACUGGGCGUAAAGCGCACGCAGGCGGCUCGAUAAAUUAGAAGUGAAAGCCCUGGGCUCAACCUAAGAAUUGCAUUUGAUACUGUUUGGCUUGAGUUCGGGAGAGGUGAGUGGAAUUCCCAGUGUAGAGGUGAAAUUCGUAGAUAUUGGAAAGAACACCAGUGGCGAAGGCGACUCUCUGGUCUGUAACUGACGCUGAGGAGCGAAAGCGUGGGGAGCGAACAGGAUUAGAUACCCCGGUAGUCCCUGUCUCUUAUUAU
This 301-nucleotide ribosomal RNA is filed under the name uncultured bacterium. Its description in RNAcentral is "partial 16S ribosomal RNA". It matches the Rfam family "Bacterial small subunit ribosomal RNA", at positions 510 to 810 of the family's 1533-position model. The record is from RNAcentral.